Molecule: ribosomal RNA, 292 nt
Filed under: uncultured microorganism
Description: partial 16S ribosomal RNA
Rfam family: Bacterial small subunit ribosomal RNA
Source: RNAcentral
GUGCCAGCAGCCGCGGUAAUACGUAGGGUGCGAGCGUUAAUCGGAAUUACUGGGCGUAAAGCGUGCGCAGGCGGUUCGCUAAGACCGAUGUGGAAAUCCCGGGCUUAACCUGGGAACUGCAUUGGUGACUGGCGGGCUAGAGUAUGGCAGAGGGGGGUAGAAUUCCACGUGUAGCAGUGAAAUGCGUAGAGAUGUGGAGGAAUACCGAUGGCGAAGGCAGCCCCCUGGGCCCAUACUGACUCUCUUGCCCGAAAGCGUGGGGAGCAAAAGGAUUUAGAUACCCUGGUAGUCC